RNAcentral lists this transfer RNA (70 nucleotides) under Paguristes turgidus. RNAcentral's name for it is "tRNA-Leu". The record is from RNAcentral. Lineage: Eukaryota; Metazoa; Arthropoda; Malacostraca; Decapoda; Diogenidae.
CAUAGAAUGACAGAUAAAUGUGCAAGGUUUAAGCUCUUGAAAUGGAAGACUUAUAAAUCUCCUUCUAUGA